RNAcentral lists this unclassified non-coding RNA (522 nucleotides) under Hevea brasiliensis (rubber tree). The record is from RNAcentral. Lineage: Eukaryota; Viridiplantae; Streptophyta; Magnoliopsida; Malpighiales; Euphorbiaceae.
CCCCUCCAAUAGCAAUUAUCUGGAAUAUCCAGAUAUAAAUUAGUGUCGCCAAGAGUGAUCUCUCAACUCCUGCCAUGUAUUCAUGCCCAAAUAAAUAAUAUCUCAAGGAUUUGUCCUGCGGAACAAACUCAUAAACGAGCAGUCUAUUAACUCCUUCUUCGCAGUAUCCAAUAAGGUUAAUAGCUUUCAUCUUUGUGUAUUCUUCUUCUUGCUUCCUAGAAUUAUUAAACUUCUUAACUGUCACCAUUUUACCAUUGAGGUCUCCUUUAAAGACUUGACCCAAAGGACCCUCGUCAAGACGGUUGUCCUCAGAGAAACCUCCAGUUGCCGUUGUUAGUUCUUGAUAAGUAAAUCUUCUCAGCUGAUAAUCUUCUUGAAAAUUAGUUCUCUCCUGCUGAUAAUCUUGAAACCUCUCAGUGCCAUUAGUGGUCUCCGAGGAAUCAUAAGUUGCCAUUGUGUGUUCUCGAAGUGUAAAUUCCCUCGGUUCAAUGCCAUUAUAAUUAGCUUCUGAACUGACAAAAG